This 440-nucleotide ribosomal RNA is filed under the name uncultured bacterium. Its description in RNAcentral is "bacterial SSU rRNA". It matches the Rfam family "Bacterial small subunit ribosomal RNA", at positions 23 to 507 of the family's 1533-position model. The record is from RNAcentral.
CUCAGAACGAACGCUGGCGGCAGGCUUAACACAUGCAAGUCGAACGCUCGUAGCAAUACGGGAGUGGCGGACGGGUGAGUAACGCGUGGGAACGUGCCUGAGGUACGGAAUAACUGAGGGAAACUUCAGCUAAUACCGUAUGAGCCCCGAGAGGGGGAAAGAUUUAUCGCCUUGGGAGCGGCCCGCGUCGGAUUAGCUAGUUGUGGGGUAACGGCCUACCAAGGCUUCGAUCCGUAGCUGGUCUGAGAGGACGAUCAGCCACACUGGGACUGAGACACGGCCCAGACUCCUACGGGAGGCAGCAGUGGGGAAUCUUGCGCAAUGGGGGCAACCCUGACGCAGCCAUGCCGCGUGAACGAUGAAGGCCUUAGGGUUGUAAAGUUCUUUUACCCGUGACGAUGAUGACGGUAACGGGGGAAUAAGCUCCGGCUAACUUCGUG